RNAcentral lists this ribosomal RNA (200 nucleotides) under uncultured bacterium. RNAcentral describes it as "partial 16S ribosomal RNA". It matches the Rfam family "Bacterial small subunit ribosomal RNA", at positions 29 to 261 of the family's 1533-position model. The record is from RNAcentral.
AACGAACGCUGGCGGCAGGCUUAACACAUGCAAGUCGAGCGCCCCUCACGGGGAGCGGCAGACGGGUGAGUAACGCGUGGGAAUCUACCCAACCCUGCGGAAUAGCUCCGGGAAACUGGAAUUAAUACCGCAUACGCCUACGGGGAAGAUUAUCGGGGAGUGGAUGAGCCCGCGUUGGAUUAGCUAGUUGGUGGGGUAAA